RNAcentral lists this small RNA (948 nucleotides) under Pan troglodytes (chimpanzee). RNAcentral describes it as "processed transcript". The record is from RNAcentral. Lineage: Eukaryota; Metazoa; Chordata; Mammalia; Primates; Hominidae.
AAAGUUGAGAAAUUGUCAGAAGAAAUCAUGGAGAUAAUGCAAAAUUUAAGUAGUAUACAGGCUUUGGAGGGCAGUAGAGAGCUUGAAAAUCUCAUUGGAAUCUCCUGUGCAUCACAUUUCUUAAAAAGAGAAAUGCAGAAAACCAAAGAACUAAUGACAAAAGUGAAUAAACAAAAACUGUUUGAAAAGAGUACAGGACUUCCUCACAAAGAAUCACGUCAUCUUGACAGCUAUGAAUUCCUUAAAGCCAUUUUAAACUGAGAAACCUGACAGUACUCCUGAUAUCACCGUGGCCAACUUCCCUACCUGCACAACUGCUCCAGCCCUCUGUCACACUUCAGUGAUUAUUCCUCUUGACCUGUAAUUGUUCAGUGGGGAGGACUGUCCCAUACAAAUUCACUCCCAGAGCCUUUAAAAAGUGAAGCCUUUGUGAAACAAUGCUAGAAUAAGAGAGAAAGUAAGGGUGACAGCAACCCAGAGGCCACAGCCAGAGUGCUAAGACCAUCAAAAGAUGGGAAGAGAAAAACAUUUUGGCUAAUGAUAACGGGAUAUUGGGAUACUUUAGUAACAAUGUGGAUGAAUCACUUGGGUAACACAAGGAUGAGGCUUAGUAUGAACAAAGCGCUGUGUAUUAUGACAGUUUGAAACCUAAUAAGGACACAAAAUAUAAGUCAAGUUAUGAUAAAUGAUACAAGUUCAGACUCUUCUAAGUUCUGGCCAAUAACAAGUACAGACAAGGAUUGUGCAUCCAAUGAGGAUCAAAGUAUCAACUUGAUUGGUGGUGGAAUUGAUAACCCCCAACAUGGCAGGCUCUCUAGUAGAAGCUUGGGGUAACUAAGGUAGAUUGCCUUAAAGCAGAAAUGCAACCUCUUCUUUCUCACACUAAGUUUAAAUCUUGAAUUCUGUGCACUUUACUGAACCUAAAAGCUGGAUCUUUUAAAUAGACCC